Long non-coding RNA from Carya illinoinensis, 634 nucleotides. RefSeq lists it as uncharacterized. NCBI's taxonomy places the organism in Eukaryota, Viridiplantae, Streptophyta, Magnoliopsida, Fagales, Juglandaceae. The record is from RefSeq and is a predicted model, not a curated record. The transcript is spliced from 2 exons.
AAAAAAUAUAUAUAACAUUGUGGUCUAUGUCGGUCAAAGAUAAAAAAAAUAAAAAAAUAAAAUUGGCGGUCUAUGUCGCACUUUUCUAAUAGCAAGAAGAGUAUCUCGAGUUCCGAACCCCAACAAUCUCAAAGUCCAAACUCAAGGAGUCAAGAUUGGGCCAUAGUAUGGUAUAUAUUGUCGAAUAUGAAGCCCCAUAGUCCAGCAAAUCUACGGGCCUACUCAACCCAAUGUUCUCAGCCUAAAUCUCACUGCCUAUACAUUAGGGUUUCUUCUUCAAUUGCUAUAAAUUCUCUCAAAGCCUACAAAGUACAAAUUGUUCUCUGCGCAGCCUACUCCGGACUACUAGGGUUUCGCAAGCGAGAGUGAGAAGGAGCUUAGACACGGAAUCACCAUGAGGGCCAAGUGGAAGAAGAAGCGCAUGAGGAGGUUGAAGAGGAAGCGCCGAAAGAUGAGGCAGAGAUCCAAGUAGUUAUCUUACCAAUAAGUCGCCGUUGUUUUGUGUCUAAUCGGUUUCUGAUUAGAGAGUCGUAGUGUUUCCCAUUUUUACGUUUGGAUCUAAUAUCUGAAAGGUUGGAGUUUUUAGCUGUUGAAUGAGAUUUUGGUACUUCUUAAUGCUAUAUGGUUACAGUAA